RNAcentral lists this transfer RNA (77 nucleotides) under Bacillota bacterium. RNAcentral's name for it is "tRNA-Pro". It matches the Rfam family "tRNA". Rfam says of the family: Transfer RNA (tRNA) molecules are approximately 80 nucleotides in length. RNAcentral also lists the same sequence under 1 other name. Lineage: Bacteria; Bacillati; Bacillota. The record is from RNAcentral.
CGGGGCGUAGCGCAGCUUGGCAGCGCGUCUGAUUUGGGUUCAGAAGGUCCCGGGUUCAAAUCCCGGCGCCCCGACCA